GUGGCGAACGGGUGAGUAACACGUGGACAACCUGCCUCAAGGCUGGGGAUAACAUUUGGAAACAGAUGCUAAUACCGAAUAAAACUUAGUGUCGCAUGACACAAAGUUAAAAGGCGCUUCGGCGUCACCUAGAGAUGGAUCCGCGGUGCAUUAGUUAGUUGGUGGGGUAAAGGCCUACCAAGACAAUGAUGCAUAGCCGAGUUGAGAGACUGAUCGGCCACAUUGGGACUGAGACACGGCCCAAACUCCUACGGGAGGCUGCAGUAGGGAAUCUUCCACAAUGGGCGAAAGCCUGAUGGAGCAACGCCGCGUGUGUGAUGAAGGCUUUCGGGUCGUAAAGCACUGUUGUAUGGGAAGAACAGCUAGAAUAGGAAAUGAUUUUAGUUUGACGGUACCAUACCAGAAAGGGACGGCUAAAUACGUGCCAGCAGCCGCGGUAAUACGUAUGUCCCGAGCGUUAUCCGGAUUUAUUGGGCGUAAAGCGAGCGCAGACGGUUUAUUAAGUCUGAUGUGAAAGCCCGGAGCUCAACUCCGGAAUGGCAUUGGAAACUGGUUAACUUGAGUGCAGUAGAGGUAAGUGGAACUCCAUGUGUAGCGGUGGAAUGCGUAGAUAUAUGGAAGAACACCAGUGGCGAAGGCGGCUUACUGGACUGCAACUGACGUUGAGGCUCGAAAGUGUGGGUAGCAAACAGGAUUAGAUACCCUGGUAGUCCACACCGUAAACGAUGAACACUAGGUGUUAGGAGGUUUCCGCCUCUUAGUGCCGAAGCUAACGCAUUAAGUGUUCCGCCUGGGGAGUACGACCGCAAGGUUGAAACUCAAAGGAAUUGACGGGGACCCGCACAAGCGGUGGAGCAUGUGGUUUAAUUCGAAGCAACGCGAAGAACCUUACCAGGUCUUGACAUCCUUUGAAGCUUUUA
This 920-nucleotide ribosomal RNA is filed under the name Leuconostoc mesenteroides. Its description in RNAcentral is "bacterial SSU rRNA". It matches the Rfam family "Bacterial small subunit ribosomal RNA", at positions 95 to 1002 of the family's 1533-position model. Lineage: Bacteria; Bacillati; Bacillota; Bacilli; Lactobacillales; Lactobacillaceae. The record is from RNAcentral.